This 465-nucleotide ribosomal RNA is filed under the name Vreelandella stevensii. Its description in RNAcentral is "partial 16S ribosomal RNA". It matches the Rfam family "Bacterial small subunit ribosomal RNA", at positions 338 to 795 of the family's 1533-position model. Lineage: Bacteria; Pseudomonadati; Pseudomonadota; Gammaproteobacteria; Oceanospirillales; Halomonadaceae. The record is from RNAcentral.
CCUACGGGGUGCAGCAGUGGGGAAUAUUGGACAAUGGGCGAAAGCCUGAUCCAGCCAUGCCGCGUGUGUGAAGAAGGCCUUCGGGUUGUAAAGCACUUUCAGUGGGGAAGAAAGCCUUGGGGCUAAUACCCUCGAGGAAGGACAUCACCCACAGAAGAAGCACCGGCUAACUCCGUGCCAGCAGCCGCGGUAAUACGGAGGGUGCGAGCGUUAAUCGGAAUUACUGGGCGUAAAGCGCGCGUAGGCGGUCUGAUAAGCCGGUUGUGAAAGCCCCGGGCUCAACCUGGGAACGGCAUCCGGAACUGUCAGGCUAGAGUGCAGGAGAGGAAGGUAGAAUUCCCGGUGUAGCGGUGAAAUGCGUAGAGAUCGGGAGGAAUACCAGUGGCGAAGGCGGUCUUCUGGACUGACACUGACGCUGAGGUGCGAAAGCGUGGGUAGCAAACAGGAUUAGAUACCCCGGUAGUC